GGGACUGUCAGGUUUCUACAUAUUUAUAAAUGCUACUAAGUUAAUAGAGGGUAUGUUAUCUUUUUAAGAUACACAUUUAUUUCAUAAAUGCAAAACAUCAAAUUCAGCCUUUAUCUAAAAAUCUUGUAUUAAUUUAAUACUUUAUUGAUAUCAAGUUUUUAUUGUUAGUUCAAUUAAUUAUAAUCCUCACUAAUUUUUUGUACUUUUUGAUAAGGAUUCUCUUAAGAUUAUUUAUAUAAUAAUUUUAAGUUUAGUAUAUAGAUUAAUCUCUUUAAUUAUUGCCUCUAAUUUACAUUGCCAUUAAAAAAAAAUUUUUAUUUUUUAUUAAUCAAUGUAAUAUGCUAGUAUGCGUUAUAGAUAUGGACGUGGGUUCAAAUCCCACCAGUUCCA
RNAcentral lists this non-coding RNA (390 nucleotides) under Campylaephora boydenii. Lineage: Eukaryota; Rhodophyta; Florideophyceae; Ceramiales; Ceramiaceae. The record is from RNAcentral.